CUAUCUAGAUUAAAUGGCACUUAAGAUAUGGUAAGAAUGAGAGUGAGAAACGCUUAGUGCUAUAGAGCAGGCCGACAUUAAACAUUCUUUAUGGGUUGUCAUAGCAACCCACUUUGAUAACUCACAUCUCUGCACUGGAGUUAAAUAAGGGGGCACAUGGCACUUAGGAAGGUGCAGUCUCCUUUAAGAAGAUCUAUAAGCACUGCAGAUGAACAGAACUCGAAACAUUCCUCCAUGAAUAUUCAUGAAGUAAGUUGUUUUUUGUUGCCUGCCUAGUCAGCAGUCACAAAACACAUGGUGUGUGUUGGCAGCAUCUUGCCUAGGUAGAGGGCUAUGGACUGAGGCAAUGGCAGGAACCAGGACCUGUGAGGCUGACUGACAUUUCCAUCUGUAGCUAAGGCUGGUAAUUAACAGGAAGGAGUGUGCCUGCAGCACCGCACCAUCUGCUAGGGAAACGGCUCAAUAAGAAAGGAGCUGGAUAUCAUCUCAGUGGUGGCGCGAGUCGGUUCCGACAUGAGGCUGGGCAUCUGUUAGUUGAGGAGAGAGGCUAUUAGGAAAUUCGACUGGGAAUGAACCACAUGGAAAGAGCACUCUGACCUAGCCCAUCAAAGCAUCUCUUCAGAAAUGGGGCCUUUUUAUCUUACUUACACAAGACUUUGGAAAAUGGUUUGUUCAGGGACCAUUACAGGCCUGUUUGAUGUCACACAAUGAUUUUUUUUUUUUUUUUAGGAAAAAACCCACUCCCAAACCUUGCUGUAUUACAAUGUGAAAUUCUUGAAAUCAGGAUACAGCUGUCAUCGUUUGACAAUGGAGCUAAUUUCAGAAUGGAAACACUGAUGAUGCUCACAUAUCCUUGUUAAAGGUACAGCAGGGCAUUAAAAUCAAGUUAGCAGUUAACUAUCAAGGGUUGGCUGAGUAGCAACUCUGUGAAACAACCCAAAGUGCAGGAAAACCAGCCUUAGGAAGACAGGAGGAAAAAAAGGUUUGUUGACUGUGUUUACUUAAUCAGACCCAGGAGUUCCAAGGUCAAGCAUUCUGUUGGCUGUAAUUUAUUGUAGCAAAUACAGCAGGCGCUGCUUCUUCAUUGGAAUCUAAGAGCGUGACUAGAUGGGGAAAAUACGGGAAAUAUUAUGGAUUUGGGGAAGGC
Molecule: long non-coding RNA, 1147 nt
Filed under: Pogona vitticeps (central bearded dragon)
Lineage: Eukaryota; Metazoa; Chordata; Lepidosauria; Squamata; Agamidae
Description: lncRNA (ENSPVIG00000018493.1)
Source: RNAcentral